GUCUCUUAGAAAUUACUAAGAGUCAGGCCUGCCCAGUGAUUGCUUUUUUAACGGCCGCGGUACCCUGACCGUGCAAAGGUAGCAUAAUCAUUUGCCUUUUAAUUGGAGGCUGGUAUGAACGGUUUGACGAGAGUAAAGCUGUCUCACACACAUUAAAUAGAAACUAAUUUAAAGGUGCAAAAGCCUUUAUAAAACAAAAAGACGAGAAGACCCUGUUGAGCUUUAAUUUUAAUGAGCACCAACUUUAUAUUAAUAUAAUUCAUUUGCUCAGUAAAAAUUUUAAUUGGGGCGAUUAAGGAACACAAUGAAGCUUCCUGAUUUUAACAUUAAAUAUCUAUAAACUAAAUCGAUCCAGCAAUGCUGAUCAACAAAACGAGUUACCACAGGGAUAACAGCAUAAUUCUUUUUCAGAGCUCAUAUCGAAAAAAGAGAUUGUGACCUCGAUGUUGGACUAGGGUAACAAGAAGGUGGAGCAGCUUUCUUGCUUGGUCUGUUCGACCAGUAAUUCCCU
RNAcentral lists this ribosomal RNA (511 nucleotides) under Theodoxus doriae. Its description in RNAcentral is "partial large subunit ribosomal RNA". It matches the Rfam family "Bacterial large subunit ribosomal RNA", at positions 1828 to 2597 of the family's 2925-position model. Lineage: Eukaryota; Metazoa; Mollusca; Gastropoda; Cycloneritida; Neritidae. The record is from RNAcentral.